RNAcentral lists this ribosomal RNA (425 nucleotides) under uncultured bacterium. RNAcentral describes it as "bacterial SSU rRNA". It matches the Rfam family "Bacterial small subunit ribosomal RNA", at positions 359 to 776 of the family's 1533-position model. The record is from RNAcentral.
GAAUUUUGGACAAUGGGCGAAAGCCUGAUCCAGCCAUGCCGCGUGAGUGAAGAAGGCCUUCGGGUUGUAAAGCUCUUUCAGUUGGGAAGAAAAGGCGCUCUCUAAUAUAGGGCGCUGCUGACGGUACCGACAGAAGAAGCACCGGCUAACUACGUGCCAGCAGCCGCGGUAAUACGUAGGGUGCGAGCGUUAAUAGGAAUUACUGGGCGUAAAGCGUGCGCAGGCGGUUGUGUAAGACAGGUGUGAAAUCCCCGGGCUUAACCUGGGAACUGCGCUUGUGACUGCACGGCUAGAGUACGGCAGAGGGGGGUGGAAUUCCACGUGUAGCAGUGAAAUGCGUAGAUAUGUGGAGGAACACCGAUGGCGAAGGCAGCCCCCUGGGCCGAUACUGACGCUCAUGCACGAAAGCGUGGGGAGCAAACAGG